GGUGAAUGCCCUGGACUCUUCAAGAUCGAGCGCACCAUUGGACAGGCUGAGUACGUCCAUCGACAGCCUGCCCAGUGUCCGGGUUCACCAAGCAGUACAACCAGAGACGCUGUCGGCUGCCUGUAGGUCUGGAAACCAGACAACAUCUCUGAAACCCACUAUCCUCUGAUGCAUGAAUCUCUAUGCUCAAUUUGGCUACAUCUAAUUUGCCAUCAUUUAAUCCUCCAUAAUGCAAACAUCCUGUUUUUCAUCAAGAGAAAGAACAUUAAGAAUUUUCGCACAUUCUGUUGUAGCAAUAUCGACUGUAUGAAUACCAGUAGUGUGUUUGACAGUUUGUUCUUGUGGCUUCCAAAAGAAACCUGGAAUGUUUGUUCUGCCGGUACAACUCUCUUUGGCUAGGACAUUUUGGCUUCAAAUAACAUAAAUGAACCUAAAACUUCUUAAUAUUUUAUAUCACUUUUUGUAUUGAUGUUCUUCAUGCAUGCUCAUCUGCCAAGAGGUUAGUCACAUAAUGUCACACGUUCCUCAGCAGGCACCAAGCCGUCCGCUGUUGUCUCUGCCUGAAGAAGGAUUAUGGUUCUCCACCUCUUUGCUAAUCAUAUUAAAAUUCUGGUAUGUUCUUUCUUUCUUUAUUUUCUUUCAAGAAAAAGGUGCAUCCUGUUCUUAAUUUCCUAUGAUGAUUUCAAUGGCAAUUUGUCAGUGUAUUUCUAGCUGGAAUUGUAUGUAUAUCUUAAAAAUGUGCAUUGCAACAAAUUAAUAACGAGAAUAGAAGCGUUUGCACCCAUCUAACAUAUUUGUAUGGUAUUUUUCAAAAGCUCAAGCUUAAAGAUGUGGCGUUGUAUGAGGCUAUCAUUAGGAUGGAAGAUAAAUUUAAUGUUAAAAUAUUGCUUGAAUUUCCUUUGUUCUGUAAACGGCAAUACAAGAUAUGUUGCGCCAUGGUUUUUUUCCAAAAAAAUAACAACUAGCAAUUAACGACACAUCAAAUGUUCUGUGGAUCAUUUUGUCAGGUUGGAUUUAGUUGGUCAUAAUGGUUUUAUUCUAUGACAGGAUUAAUUUUGUUUGUACUUUAACCAGUUCAAGGAUUGGUGGUCGAGCACUAUGAUCUUUGCACACUAAGGUUCGGUUGUGUUCUUUGAGAAAUAUAUGUCCUACAAGUCUCAUGUGUCUUGUCUUGUUUUCGAUUUCCAAGCUACAAGCUUUUGAUAUCCUUCAAACGUGAUUCUUUAUAUGUUGUUUGUUCCAUCAAUCGUAAAAUGUAAAUUAGCAAUUAGGCGUCGACAUAGUAUAGUGGAACCAUUGUGCUUGAUGCAGUUUUAUUUUAGUGUUGAAAUGUUUUUCUUAGUUUGUUUGGUGUUGAGAAAUAUAUUCGUUUUCCAGCAAUUGUUUUCUAAAUCCUAUCAACACAUUACCUGAUAUGGCCUUUGAAGUUUCUGUUUUAUAACGAUCUUUGUUGCAGUGGUCAACUUGAGUAUGGUAUAGCUUAUUAUUUUCUGUUGCAGCUAUUCCGGAGAAGUUUAGAGCUUCUGCAACCUUUUGAAGACACGAUUUAUAGUUGCGGAGAUGAAACAAGCAAUCAGUUGCGAUGCAUUACAUAAUAUUUUUGCUCUGGACAUUGAUGGGUAUUAUUUUGCCACAAAGGACAGGAGCUUUGCCAUUUGACUCGAAGGAUAAAGUGUUCAUCACAAGGGGGUGGUCUUUAGGAUGUACACAAAAGAGGAAAUUUCCUUUUGUAUAGAACCAAAUUAUAUGAUGUAAUUGACCAUUCUCUUGUACACAAUGUUUAUCAUGUAUUAAGUACAUUUUAUUGUCAAAUAUGUUUACUUUUUUAGUUGCACAAGUUCAUAACUCCUUGGACUUUCUAAUUGCAGGCUGAACUAUUUGAAACCA
RNAcentral lists this long non-coding RNA (1887 nucleotides) under Triticum aestivum (bread wheat). RNAcentral's name for it is "long non-coding RNA (TAES_LNC000988)". The record is from RNAcentral. Lineage: Eukaryota; Viridiplantae; Streptophyta; Magnoliopsida; Poales; Poaceae.